This 510-nucleotide ribosomal RNA is filed under the name uncultured bacterium. RNAcentral describes it as "partial 16S ribosomal RNA". It matches the Rfam family "Bacterial small subunit ribosomal RNA", at positions 28 to 507 of the family's 1533-position model. The record is from RNAcentral.
GACGAACGCUGGCGGCGUGCUUAACACAUGCAAGUCGAACGAAGAGCGACGGAAGCUUGCUUCUAUCAAUCUUAGUGGCGAACGGGUGAGUAACGCGUAAUCAACCUGCCCUUCAGAGGGGGACGACAGUUGGAAACGACUUCUAAUACCGCAUCCGAUCUAAUCUCGGCAUCGAGGAUGGCUGAAAGGUGGCCUCUACAUGUAAGCUAUCACUGUAGGAGGGGGGUGAGUGUGCUUAGCUAGCUGGGGGGGUAACGGGCCACGAAGGCGUGGAUCAGUAGCCGGUCUGAGAGGCUGGACGGCCACAUUGGGACUGAGACGCGGCCCAGGCUCCUACGAGAGGCCGCAGUGGGGAAUCUUCCGCAAUGGACGGAAGUCUGACGGAGCAACGCCGCGUGAGUGAUGACGGCCUUCGGGUUGUAAAGCUCUGUUAAUCGGGACGAAAGGCUUUCUUGCGAAUAGUGAGGAGGAUUGACGGUACCUGCAGAGAAAGCCACGGCUAACUACGUG